CCAACGGCCGCGCCUCGCGCCAGACACAAAGGGGACUCGCUCCAACCGCCGGCCCGGGGCGCCGCGCGCCACCCCUCGCGCCCCGCCCCCGCCGCGCCCCUGACCAUAGAGGCGGGCCUCCGGGAAGUGAAGUCCAACUGCUCAAAAUGCUUCCUACCCAGCUGCAGCUACCAAUAAAAUAAGCAGGAGCUGCUUUGCUCACAGAAAACAAGAACCUAACUGUGUGGGCUGCACAGCACUUUCACUGUUUGGAUGGUUAAAGAAAAUUAUGGUAAUUAUGACGUAUAUCAAAACCUGCUCAGCCUGAAGUAAAUGACAGAAGUCCUGCUCGUGUUAAUGGUUCCAGUCUUGGCUCAUUAGUUAACGCUGGGAGUUCUCCACAAGGAUUCACAUAAAACAGAUAUUCUGCCUUGAAACGUUUUUAUUCUUGCGUCAAAGUGGAUUGGGUUUUUUUUUCCUAGAAAGAAGAAACAAGACUCAUGCUGUUUUUAAUACUACUAUGCCCUCACAGUUUCACAAAUACCCAGGUCAUGUUCCGGCAGACACCCUUGCAAAGGCCACAGAGGCCUGCAAAAGCCCCCCCCCAAGGCUGUGGAGAUGCUUUGCCUGAGCUUGUAUCAGGACCUAGGAGGACUAACCUCCUGGACACACCUCCCCAGCAGUUUGCAAGAGUUCGUCCUCCUUCCCUGCCCCAUUUUGAAUUCUGCAGAAGCCUGGAGCAGGGGCUGGCAGGGCGUGAAGCCCCUGGCACCGCAGCCAUGUCGUGCUGCAGGGCCGAGGAGGGGCUGGCUGGCCCUGCUCCAUCACACAGAUGCAGGAAGCAAUCACGGCUGCCCAAGCACAGGAGCAGCUUCCUUUUCCCACGGUGGUGGAAGGAAACCAGAUCUGAACUGUCACUUGCAGACUUACUCAUUGUUAUGUGCUCAGACAAGGGUAUAUUUAUAGAUCUUGAUGUGACACUGUUUUAUCUGUUUAACUGUAAGCUAGAAUUUCACCAGCAUAAUAUUCAGCAAUUUCAACUAAGACCAACGGGAAGACGUCCAGGACAAUGAAGACCCGCAAAGUUGCAGCACUGCAAGUCUGUGACGUUGGUCCCAAAAAGGCUGGGGGAGAGAUGAGAAAAAGCCUGUAAAACUUACCAAGAUUUUAGAGGAAGAUGUUCUGCCUGAAGCACUGCAUUUCCACCAGGAAAAACUUAGCUUGGUGAAACAACAGUAUUGAAUACGACUAAGAAACUACUGUUAAAAACAGAGAGAAAACAGAUGCCAUUCUACAACUGUUGUUCGCUGUUCUCACAGCCAGGCGAGGACAAGGAUGAGCAUGGAAGCAUUUGCAGGACAGGUGCAAGGACAGCGACAGAAGAGCCAAGGCACAGUGGCUGCAAGCUCCUCAUAGCUAGCAGCCUAAUGUGAACGGAGCCCACAGCAGGGCAUGUCUGCCUUGCCCUGGGGCGAGGAAGCUUUGAAUGACACAGACCCUGGCGGGGCACUGAGGCUGCCUUUUAUGCUAUGUCUGUACUUAAGUGAGACACCGCAAUGAGAAGUACAGCUGAUACACAUCUCGGGUCUUUCCUGCUGUCCACCACACUGAUGCACACGCAAACAUGGUGAUGUCACUUGCAGAUUCAACACUGCACAUAAAUGAGACAGAACACGUCCUCGUUAGCAGCAUCUCAUGUGAACGCUGUGUGUUGUUUUUUUUUAUUACUAGGCAUAUGGGGAUUUGUUUUCAUGCUUCAAGGGAAUAUUCCAAUCAAUGGAAAAUAAAAUGUACAAGGCAUUAAGAAAGCCAAAGUGAACUACCAAACAA
Molecule: long non-coding RNA, 1809 nt
Filed under: Gallus gallus (chicken)
Lineage: Eukaryota; Metazoa; Chordata; Aves; Galliformes; Phasianidae
Description: lncRNA (ENSGALG00010026469.1)
Source: RNAcentral